CCUACGGGAGGCUGCAGUGAGGAAUAUUGGUCAAUGGGCGCGAGCCUGAACCAGCCAAGUCGCGUGAGGGAAGAUGGUCCUAUGGAUUGUAAACCUCUUUUGUCGGGGAGCAAAAGACGCCACGCGUGGCGUUCAGAGAGUACCCGAAGAAAAAGAAUCGGCUAACUACGUGCCAGCAGCCGCGGUAAUACGUAGGGGGCGAGCGUUAUCCGGAUCCACUGGGUGUAAAGGGAGCGUAGACGGCCAAGCAAGCCAGGGGUGAAAGCCCGGGGCCCAACCCCGGGACUGCCCUUGGAACUGCAUGGCUGGAGUGCGGGAGGGGCAGGCGGAAUUCCUGGUGUAGCGGUGAAAUGCGUAGAUAUCAGGAGGAACACCGGCGGCGAAGGCGGCCUGCUGGACCGCGACUGACGUUGAGGCUCGAAAGCGUGGGGAGCGAACAGGAUUAGAUACCCCAGUAGUC
This 460-nucleotide ribosomal RNA is filed under the name uncultured bacterium. Its description in RNAcentral is "partial 16S ribosomal RNA". It matches the Rfam family "Bacterial small subunit ribosomal RNA", at positions 338 to 795 of the family's 1533-position model. The record is from RNAcentral.